UGACCAUUAUAGUGAUUUUCAGCAAAUUCCCUUUAUACAUUAAAAAGUAAAAUGCCCUAGAAGAAAGGAAUUCACACAGAUGCAUCUUAAAAAUCUGUAUUAUGAUAAUUUUCUCUCUAGGACCUCACAAAUUUGAGGGAAUGUGUUAUUCUGUGUUACGAUUUUUCUCCCAAAUCUGGUGAUUCAAGAUGCGCUUGAGGUGUAAAUAAGUAGUAUUAAGUCAUGCUGGUUAUAAAAAAAAUAAAUGUGGUUUUCACUGUAGAUGAGUGCUCAGGAUCUACCUUUCAUAUGUCAUCAUCAGCUGAAAAAGAAGACAUCAAGGAUGCCAUUGAAAAUUAUAGGACACAGGAUAAAUAUAUUUUAGAAGCUACCAACUUGGUAGAAAAAACAGCACAUGAAAAUCAGACUGACAAAGCAGAAAUUUCACAUCAGGAAGCCCUAGCAGAAAAUGAGGAAUUGCACAGUGCUGACAAGCAGUUAAGUCCAAAACCUUGGGAAGAAAGAUAUGAAAGGAUGUGGGUUGAAAAUGAGAAAAGGGAAUUGAAAACAAAUUUUAAAAACAUUACAGCAGAGCUGAAGCAGCUGUUUGGUGAAAUUAAUGAAACUGGGAAAACUACUUCCCUUGUGGAAGAAAUGUCAGAAGAUGGCUUCAGUGAAGAAUUGAAGAGUUCUCAUGUUGUUUCAUCUCGUGUGACAGAAUCAAGUAAUAAGUUAGAAACUAAAGGUGAAUUUGGAGAUAUUAAACUUAUGCUAGGUGGAAAAGAACCCAAAAUGGAAAUUGAAAUUCCAAGUCUUGGUGUCCUUCCUGAUCAAAAUAACUUAAAUGCAAAUGUGGAAGAUACCUGGAGUACAGAUGAAAAGGAUAGCACAAAUGAUACAGAUAAUACAAAGGUACCUCUAGCAAAAGGAGAGGAAAAGAAAAUGCCUACUAUGGAAAUGGAAGAGAAUGAAAAUGGAAGUAGUAGAAAUGUAGAGGGAAGUCCUGAAUACUCCCUGAGACAUAGCUUAAAAACAAGAAUUUUGGAUGACGCUUCUAAUAUUCUUCCUAAAAUAAGACCUGUUUCUACAAGUGAUGCAAACACGCUUUUUGUAACAGAAAGGAAACUUGGAAAAGACUCUGGAUUUAAUUAUGAAGUUCCCGGGGACUGCCUUAUCGACAAUUAUAAAAUAGGAGAAACAGAAAUUGACAGUCUUUUUGCAAAUGCUCAGCAAUCAUGUGGCAUGCAGAAAAGGAAUCUUGAUGAAGAACUAAAACAAGAUAUGGAAAGAUUUAAGAGUAAGGUAGGAAUGCUGCAAAUAGUAUUCCUGGCUUUGGAGAAAGAGAAGGUACAGCUGCAAAAAGAGGUAGAAGUUCACCUGCUAAUCGUUAUUCUUUAGCCUUUCUCCAUACCAAUGGUCCUGUUCACUUUAGCUAUUUGUUAUUAAGGGAAGAUGCUUCCUGCAAAUUGGGUUUUGUUUUGAUGGAAAUAUGUUACUUAUAAAUAAAGAGAGCAGUAGAGACGUGUCCUUUUCCCCAUUAUGUAAUUAAUUAGAAGAUUUUUGGAAAACACAGAAUGCAUUAUUGUUCCAGUUUAACAAUAGGUGGCACUCAGUUCCAGUGUAAGUAGUUAUCACUUCAUUGCCAUAAAAAGAAAUGCACACAAUUACAUCUGUUCUGAUUCUGACUCAAAGAAUGAAAAUAGCUUCUGAACAGGGUCUUGACUAAUCUAUUCAUUUGCUGUGAUUUCUGCAUGGUGUGUAUUCAUUGCUCUUCACUAAAAUUCCUGUUUGCUGUGAAACCAUUUCUGCUUGUGAGUUUGAGAUCUAUCCCUGCCCCACCCUCCCUUUAGGUAAGCAGUAGCCCAGCACACUUCCACUUGAUUUUUUUUUUCCUGGGUUUACAGCUAACAUUGUGCAGUCCUUCCAACUCUUUGUCCAUCCGUAAUGCUUUCACUUUUUUGUUGUUCAUGUUUUAAGAUACACUAUUGUUUUCUUUCUAAGGGCUAUGUUUUUGUUAUAUCUUUAAUCAUGAGUGAAUUCGAAGUACUUUCAAUGACUUGAUACGCUUUGUAGUGUAAUUUAGUGAAAAAGCUUCUCUAUAUGAAUUAAUUUAUUUUUUUUUUCAUUUUACGUGAUUGCGGAGCUAAACCCUGAAUUAUUCAAUCUUGAAUAUGCUGUUUUUCCUUUCUAGAAAUACUGAGAAAUACAUGAA
Molecule: long non-coding RNA, 2191 nt
Organism: Buteo japonicus
Lineage: Eukaryota; Metazoa; Chordata; Aves; Accipitriformes; Accipitridae
Source: Ensembl